Long non-coding RNA from Vigna unguiculata (cowpea), 524 nucleotides. RefSeq lists it as uncharacterized. The record is from RefSeq and is a predicted model, not a curated record. NCBI's taxonomy places the organism in Eukaryota, Viridiplantae, Streptophyta, Magnoliopsida, Fabales, Fabaceae.
UUCUCUCUGCCACCCACACCACAGAAACACCUUGCACUUCACAUCACCCCUUCUCCCUCUUCUUUUCCUCUGCCUUCUCUUUACCAAAAGAGAAAUUCUGAAUCACUCUUCCCCUGUUGCAGAACCUAAACCUGAGGCCAAUUCAGGAUCUUCCCUCUCAGCUUCAACUCCUCCUUUUCCUCCAUCUCACUAAGUGGUACACCUGAAGCUCUUGGGUGGGAGGAUCUUAGCUAAUUAGAAAGAUAUAUAGAGAGCAGAAACCAGAUGGAGAUGCCCCCUCUUGAGUAGGAGUUGGAGCCUGGCAAGGAGUGCCCACUAUAGUUAGAUUUCUACUUAAUAUUUUGAGGGUUUGGGUGUAGUUUAGCAUCCUUUCUACCUACUCUUACCUGGUGUAUAUGUGUUUAUAGAUGUAGUAGUGUGCAGGACUGUACUAGAUACAUAUACUAUGUGUGUAUGACUGCUACCCCUACUAUCUGCUAUCUUUGAUUAUGAUAUAAUGUUUUGUUUGAUAAUAUGAAAAACUA